GUUCCUGUGGUGUAGUGGUUAUCACAUCCGCCUAACACGCGGAAGGUCCCAGGUUCGAGCCCUGGCAGGAACA
Galendromus occidentalis (western predatory mite) is the source of this 73-nucleotide non-coding RNA. Lineage: Eukaryota; Metazoa; Arthropoda; Arachnida; Mesostigmata; Phytoseiidae. The record is from the annotation of a RefSeq genome assembly.